CCUCAUUCACACGGUCAGUGAUUUCCAUCAGUGGUUUUGAGCCAUAACCAGGUGCGGCUUUAAACACAACAGGUGCAGAUCAUUCCCGUAUACCUUAUGUCUGUUGAGGCUCCAGUCCUGGUUUUGGCUCACAUUCACUGAUGGAAAUCACUGAUGUGUGAAUGAGACUUAACCUUGGCAUCAGAUUCCUACCUUUGUAAUACA
Molecule: long non-coding RNA, 204 nt
Organism: Bufo bufo (common toad)
Lineage: Eukaryota; Metazoa; Chordata; Amphibia; Anura; Bufonidae
Exons: 3
Source: RefSeq, a predicted model, not a curated record